GAACAUCCGGCAACCCGAGAACAUCCGGUACCUACACCGGCGAAAAAGCCGCUGGGUGAGGCCAGCAGUUCUCGUGCCUCAUGUGGGAUUGUGACGCUAAAAAAUACUAGAAGAAGUGAUAGCAAGCGCCAAGUCAUUUUCUUCAGAAGGAGCGGCGUAUGGACUUUAUUUACAAGUAAAGCUCUAAAGCGGAUUCAAACCUACAGAAACACAACUGGACAGACUCUCAGCACUGGUCUUGAUGGAACAGAAAAGGACGUCUGGAUGGAACUGAAGACCAUAAUCUGCAUGACAGGGUGACGGACUGUUUUUCAGGAAUUUUGUCUUCAAAUAAUCUGAUUUUUGGAUUUCCCUGGAGAACUUCUCCGUGCUGAUGGCAAUCUGAUGGGGAACUUUAAGCACAGCAGCUGAGUCAAAGGAGGGUAAAACUCCACUGACCCUGGGGUAUAGACAACAACACUCAUCCCUCUCCUUCUGUCAAGGCAACAGCGCCAAACAACAGGAACAAAUCAGAACACAGGCCAGUCUGGUGACGUGCACGAACAUCUCUUUUUCAUCUUCUUAGCUGCACCGUCUGCAGGAGAAACGCCUGCUGGACUUGGCUGCACCAUCCAUCAUGACAAAAGGAAAAAUACUGUAUUUAUGGGGCAGGCGCUUCACUUCAUACCCUGCAGAACUCUGGUUCUGUUUACUGUCCUGGAACCGAUGUUCUGCUGUGUUUUCAUUUGCUCUUCUUAAAUAACAAAGAUGCACAGCUUGAUGAUUGUUGGAGCAUUAUGGGUACUGUAGUCAGGAGAGUUUGUGACGUUAGCGUGACAGUUGUGAGCGUUUUCAUUCAAGUCUUAAUUCGACUGAGGAAGUCGUUCCUCAUCGUCACUAAAUGAACAGUUUUCUUUUCUUUGUCCAAAUAUUCACAAACUUUCUGUUCUGUGUUUUUUAUGUGUGAAACAAGUUUAAAUUAAAAGUACCAAAACACAAUUAAGGCCUUCUCUCACCGUAUGCAGCAAACAUCAAAUCAGUCAAAAAUGGUUAAUUCUUCAUCUUUUAAUCCAUUUCUGCAGAAUUCCGUUUGUGUUUUUAAUAAUGAAUUUUAUUUUAUUUAUAUGGCGCUUUUCUAGACACCCAAGGUCGCCUUACAGAUAGAGAACAAUAAAAUACAGUUAAAAGAAAGACACAUUAGUUAAAAACAAUCAAGACAUUGUAAUCAUAAAAUUAAUUAGGGUGGGUAUGCUUUUCUGAAGAGGUGGGUUUUCAGAUUUUUAGGAAACUGUGGGAGUGAGUUCAUGUUCCGCAGACCUGAGGGAAGUGAGUUCCAGAGCUGGGGGGCAGAGCGGCUGAAUGCUCUGCCCCCCAUAGUGACGAGCCGAGCGGUGGGUGUAGCAAGCUGGAGUGAAGAGGUAGACCUAAGGGAGCGGGUGGGAAUGGCAACAUGGAUAAGGUCAGACAGAUAUGGGGGGGCGAGGUUAUGGAGGGCUUUGUAGGUCAAGAUAAGGAUUUUAUAGUUAAUCCGGAAAGACACUGGUAGCCAGUGAAGCUUUUGUAGAACAGGUGUGAUAUGCAGAUUGGAGGGGGUUUAUGUUCUGAUCCGGGCAGCAGAGUUUUGGAGCAGUUGUAGUUUGUGAAUGGUUUUGUAAGGGAGUCCGGAUAAAAGGGAGUUGCAGUCGUCCAGACGAGAGGUUCUGAGACUGUGGACUAGAAUGGCUGUGGAGUGAGGACUGAGAGAGGGGCGGAGACGGCGGAUGUUUCGGAGGUGGAAAUAGGCCGACCGGGUGAUGCUAUUUAUGUGGGCAGUAAAGGAGAGAGUGCUGUCAAGGAUGACACCCAGACUCUUAACUUGUGGGGAGGGAAGGAUGGAGCAGUUAUCGAAGGAAAUGGAGAAGUUAGGGAGUUUAUUUAGGGUGGUCUUUGUUCCUACGAUGAGGAGUUAAGUUUUGUUACUAUUUAAUUUAAGGAAGUUUGCAGUGAACCAGGACUUUAUUUCAAGAAGGCAUUUGGAGAGGGAGGCGUGUGGAAGAGUGGAGUCAGGCUUGGAGGAGAGGUAGAGCUGGGUAUCAUCUGCAUAGCAGUGAAAGUGGAUGUUGUGUUUACGGAAGAUAUAACCAAGGGGAAGAAGGUAAAUGAAGAAUAGCAGGGGCCCUAGGACAGAGCCUUGGGGCACACCUGUGGUAACUGGAACUGUGGGAGAGGUGAAUGACUUUAAUUGUAUGAAUUGUGUGCAGCCUGAAAGAUAGGACUGGAACCAGCUGAGGGGUAAGUCAGGGAUGCCAAUGGUUGAAAGUCUUUCCAGAAGGAUGGGGUGUGAGAUUGUAUCAAAAGCAGCAGUCAGAUCGAGUAGAAGGAGGAUGGAGGCUAAACCAGAGUCAGCGGCGAGUAGAAGGUCGUUAGUAAUUUUAAGGAGGGCUGUUUCUGUACUGUGAAAUUGACGGAAGCCAGACUGGAGUUGUUCAUAUAAAUUAUUGGAAGAGAGGUGAGUGUGGAGUUGAGAGGUGACAGUUUUUUCAAGGAUUUUUGCAAUGAGUGGAACAUUAGAGAUUGGGCGGUAGUUAUUGAGAUUGGUGGGAUCAGAACCUGUUUUUUUCAGUGUGGGGGUGACCGCUGCGGUUUUGAGAGCAGGAGGGACAGUUCCAGUCCUAAGGGAGGUGUGAAUGAUGCUAGUAAUGAGGGGGGAUAAAGAGGGGAGAGUAGCCUUGACCAGAGCAGUGGGAAUUGGGUCAAGUUGGCAGGAGGUGGUUUUGGAUUUGUUAAUGAGUUUUUAGCACUUUUUACUCAGUAUAAACAUGUGGAGAUUCAUCUUUCAUGGAGAAACUGGAUCCAUGUUGGUCACAGAAAUCCUAGAGGAGUGAAACUCUACGUUUGGUCUGCAGGGAGAGGAUUCGUGGCUCCAGGGAGAAAACUGCUGCUAACCAGCUGAGUCGGCAUAAAAAUGCCUUGACUCGCCUCCUCCUUUGUCUUUUUUAAAAUAAUAUUAUUACUGUCACAUUCUAUUUAAAAGCCACUUUUCCGAGCUGUUAAGGUCACUGUAGAAGAAAAUAAAACCCACACUAAAAGUCAACAAACACACAGAAAGGACUAAACGGUGCACAGUAACCUGUUUCUUGAUGCUUUGCCACAAACAGGUUGUUCAGGUGAACGUGAGCACCGUCACCGUCACGUGAUGUCAGUCAUACAUCCAUCAGGAAUUUCUUCAUUGAGCUGCUAAAAGUUUUUCUGGACUUUUUUUCAUUAAUUCGUUCAAUUUCCUUUGAGUUUUCCUAAAACUACAACAAAUUCCGAUAUUACUAUGAUUUUAAAACGGUUUAAAAACUGUUUCAGAGUUUUGUUUGAGGAAAAAGUGGAACCAGUUAACUUUGAAUGAUUUAUUAGGGAUAUUUUUAUUGGUCUGACUGGAGGAGUCCAGAAGGAGGUUUUAUUCUUUUAUUAGCAUGCUUGUGUCAUUGGCAGAAACAUUCUCACCUGGUUUACCUCAUGUUUAAUAAUUAAUAGACUUACCUGUGUAUAUAUUAUCCUGUUUCUGAUGGUUUGAAGCGUUUUCACCCGCCAUCAGCAAUACUGAUACGACUGCUCUAUAAAAAGCUGGAAAGAGUGAAAUCCUGGGUCCGGCCCGUCCCUUUGCAAGAGUGGGAGGAGCACGCAAUUUAUAAAUACACUUGACAAAAAUUGAGUAUUUAUUUUGAAUGCAAACAAGUUAGAGGUGUAGCUUUGGGAAUACUUAAGGUUAUUAAUAUUUGUUCCCCUUUUUAGGAACAAAAUUAAAAAAGAAUCAAACAUAAAUGCAUGAAGGUUGUUGUUUUCUGGGGGGGAUUUAUGAUGCUUCAUGCCUUCUGGUGCUUUGCAUCGUGGACGUGUGUGAUGGAUCUUCAGGUCUGGUUGGCACCGACCUGAAUUCUGUCAGACCUCCAAAGUAAAAGCCCACAGCUUUUACUUUGGAGGUCUGACAGAAGGCUUGCUUGUUUAUUUCUUGAAGUGAUCUAAAAAUGCAGGCAGGAACUCACAGCAGAAAUGGGUGCUGUGGGGGGGCUCAUCGAUGCAGACAGAUGGGCCUUAAAAGCACUUCUUGGGGGGGGGGGGCAUGGGUUCUCUGAAACCUGCAGAAAGUCCUUCUUCCUGGCAGCUCCUGCCUCUCAUGGAGUAAAUAUUGGACUUUGAAUGAAUCUCCAGGAAAACGGCGUUUUUCAGAAAAGGCAGCUCUUCCACAACAAAAGCAGCAAAUGUAAAUCACACAGAAGUAACCAUGUGACAGGACAGAUAACAGAGCUGGAGGAGGCUGUUCAGGGGAAGGCGGCAGUUCUGCUCCUCUGCCUGUUGAAGGUCUGACGCCGAAAGCCACGGCGAGGCCUGGCUGCUGGAGGAAAGCAGCACCUGCCACCUGCAAACACGGUCAGCCGCUGAGCUUCCUGCAGUUCAGUGGCUCAGCAUAAUGGCAGGGAUGGGAAGCAGCUGCAGAGCUAACGAGUGGUACGUGCCGUCCACCCAUGUGAGGGAAUCCAUUCGUGCAGCUUUGAUGCUGCAUGGAGCAGCUCCCUCCUGCUGACCCCUGCAUGGCCUCAGCUUCUCUGAAUCCACAAAGAAAUCUUUGAUGUGUGGUGACAUCAUGUGGAAAUGACCCCACUGUAUGGUGGCCCUGAGGUACAAAUCACUCAAAACAAAAUCAUUUUAAAGCUCACAACGGCAAUUCAAAAAGCAAAACUGAUAAAAAAUCGUCAAGUUUUAGAAAUCAAAACAAAGAACCAAAAAUGAAAACACAAUUAUUUAAAAAAUGUAAACAAAAUAAAAAUGAGAUGUUUCAGAAAACAGAAGUAAUUUCCAGAAAUCCAAAAUGUUUCAAAAGGAACCAAAUAAAGAAACCAGAAAAGGUACUGUAUGUUCUACUGGACAUCCGGAUUGGACAAUGAUGUUUGUCCAUAUUUUCAACUGAAAGUAAGUAUAUGUAUGUGUUUCUCCUGCCAAUACCAGGAAGAAGUUCUUCUACAAACAUUUUUCUCCUCCUUUCAGAUGGUUCACCCGUGGAGGAAUGAAAGGUGACGUGAACCAAACGUGUGGACGCUGGAACCGUGACUGCAGGUGGCAGAGACACACGGAGCAGCCUCUGAAACCAGAGUCAUCCCUGAUGUUUCUGUUUCUCAUCUGACUCUCCUGGUUCUCCUGAUUUCCCUCCUGAAUCUUUACCCCUGCCAUGGACCCUUACCUGCCUCAGAGUUGCCGGUUCGGCUCCGGCGACCUCGUGACCUUGAUCACCUUUGGAUCAUUUUGAACACAUUUGUUUGUCUAGAUGGUGACAUGUUUGUGAGGUUUGCUGCUGUAUAUCUGACUUUCAGACGGUUCCUGUUCUGUGAUGCCUUUGCAUGUUUCUGGAUCUCUGUAGUAUUUUUUUUCCAACCUUCUGACCUCAUAGUGACGGUUUCAUAAAAACUGAAUUUCUGCAUUUUUCUCCAGAGCAGAAUCAGAAAAAAAACAGAAGUGUUGGUUUGUUAGAUUACUGUAGUUUUAAACAAUUACAUUAUUUUAAUCUUUGUAUUUUUAUUUUUUGAAUUUAUAAAAAUAUUUUUUGCUUUAUAUUUUAUUGAUAA
Molecule: non-coding RNA, 5567 nt
Organism: Oryzias latipes (Japanese medaka)
Lineage: Eukaryota; Metazoa; Chordata; Actinopteri; Beloniformes; Adrianichthyidae
Source: RefSeq, a predicted model, not a curated record